This is a non-coding RNA of Pelobates cultripes (western spadefoot toad), 969 nucleotides long. The record is from the annotation of a GenBank genome assembly. Lineage: Eukaryota; Metazoa; Chordata; Amphibia; Anura; Pelobatidae.
CUUGGAAGUAAAAGAGGUUGACAAAGUACAUGGCUUGAAAACCGAAAUACAGGUUUAUAGGAUACAAAGUGUAAAAAAUUAAUGAAUGUUUUAACAGCAAGAUGGAAUUCAAAGUCAGGAUAUAAAAAAAGGAACAUUUUUAACUUAAGAAGGCAGAAAUGCAUGAACUAGUACCCACUGGCAGAACGUGGUUUAAAUAUUUAUUUUCCUUUAGAGAGAAAACAUGAAAUAAACAGCAAACCAUCACAGGGUAGAGAUCUGAUGUUGAAUGCAAAACAACAUUCGUAAUAGCAAAAUUGAACUGCUUAAUUAACCAUGAAAAUGAGAAUUAGUGUGCCAUUUUAUUAAGUAAAUAUGCAGCAUUUUUAAAUGUACCAGGAAAAUACUUGUGUGUUAUGUCUGCUGUGCAUUUUUAUAAAGGUAAAAAUAGCAAAGUUUCUUAAUUACAAUGUGAAAUGUAAAAUCGUUAAAUUUUAAAGAGGCUGCACGGGAUAAACUUUACUAUUUCUAGGAUUUUGUAAAAUUAAAAAAUAUGCUCAUAUCUCUUGAUCAAGGUAUUUGUAGAGUUAUAAAUGAGAGCAGCAGUCAUUAGUAAAAUAUAAACAAAAAAUAAAAACGAAAACGGUGCCUUUUCACCAAGCACAAAGUUUUAGUUACCAAGUACCUAAAACUGAGGCCACUUGAUUACAACUCAGUAAACCUGGGCAAAAGACUCAAGAUGUUAAUGAGCCCAGCUAGAUGAAGAAAUUCUGUAAAAUUUUUAGUGAUGAUAUCCUACAGUGUUUAACGUAAAACAUCAUAACAGGCAGAGUAAAUGAGCCGACUGUUUUAUUUGCAGUCACAAUCUACUUUUCAAAGAUACUAACUUCAAGAUGGUUCAGGCUGUUGAAGGCUACUUCAAAGUUGUUUCGUUCAUGAAAAUUCAAUUGAGUCAAUGACAGAAUGUACAGUUACUUUUGUGUGUCUAGA